AGGCAGAGAGAACAGGGAGCGCUCAGGAUGGGGAGAGUGCUCUGGGGCCACAGGAGGGGGUUCAGCAGAGGGCAGGGUGGAGGGUGUGAUUCUAUUGUCGCUGUGCCCCCACGCCUCUCCAGUGAUAGUCUGCCCUGUUGCCAGGCACGGGUGUGGUUCUGGGCAGACCGUGGUCAGUGGUCUCAGUGUUUCGGCCCAGCUGGCCAUGGUGGCUGCAAGAAGCUCUGCAGCAGCCUGGGAAAUGGGGGAGGACCUUCAGCCUCGCGUGAGCUGCUUUAUUGGUGAACCCAGCAGACUCCAUGGAGCUUGAGGCAGAAGCAACAGACUUGUUUAACCAGGGGAUGAAAGACAUUCUGUGCAGAGAUCAGGGACGUGCCACUGCAGUCCAGCAGUAGUUCAGUGGAAUGUAAAACCCUCACCGAGUUUCACCUCGAGACAGAGGAGGUCAAAGCCCAGGAGUGCCUGCUGCCCUGGAUGGGUCCAGCUUGUGAUCUGGAGUUACAGAAGGUGACUUGAGGCUCUUGAAGAAAAGCUGGAGGGAACUGUUUCUUAUUCUCAAAGCCAGAUUCUGUGUCUCGAAUGGAAACUCAUGAUCAUUGGUGGAGAGCAUGGGAGGCUGAAAGAAACCUCAUCAUCUCCAGACAAGAGGCACAGUCCCGAGGCAAGGAAAACGGACACAGUGAUUCCCCGAGUUUCUGGACAUGGAUCCUCAAGCAGCUGAUAACCCAGAUGGAGCGUGAUUGGGGGCAUUUGCCCUCUGACCUCCAGGCGUGGACGCAGCCUCCUCUGACACUCCCCUCCCUUUAUACCCCACCUCAGCUGCCAGCCUUUCCUCUGCCCUCUUCCCCUCCAUUCCCAGAGCCUAUGUUUCCAGUGAACUCAAAUGUGGAGUUCAUGGGAAGGAGACAUCCUCUUCUGUCCCCUUCUCCAGGAAGCCUGGGUGAACUCCUGAGCCAGCUUCCAUGAAGGGCUGCUUUCCUCCUUAUCCCCACUCAGGGGCUGGAGCCCCCACCCAGAAAAUGGGAAAGAGUUGCUUUCUGGCUUCUCAUUGAGCCACCACAUGAUCCUGCCAGUCCAAAUGCCCAAUUACCACCAGGCCCUACAUAAUUUCUCAAAUUUUCCCAAAUGUAUUUUUGAAUUAUU
RNAcentral lists this long non-coding RNA (1143 nucleotides) under Homo sapiens (human). RNAcentral's name for it is "HSALNT0165280". Lineage: Eukaryota; Metazoa; Chordata; Mammalia; Primates; Hominidae. The record is from RNAcentral.